This 246-nucleotide non-coding RNA is filed under the name Paenibacillus sp. RNAcentral's name for it is "T-box sequence". It matches the Rfam family "T-box leader". From Rfam's summary of the family: Uncharged tRNA acts as the effector for transcription antitermination of genes in the T-box leader family. T-boxes are found upstream of many aminoacyl-tRNA synthetase genes and some amino acid biosynthetic genes usually in Gram-positive bacteria. The anticodon of a specific tRNA base pairs to a specifier sequence within the T-box motif, and the NCCA acceptor tail of the tRNA base pairs to a conserved bulge in the T-box antiterminator hairpin. Lineage: Bacteria; Bacillati; Bacillota; Bacilli; Caryophanales; Paenibacillaceae. The record is from RNAcentral.
ACACAUUCUAUGACGAGAAAGAGUACGCUUUUAAUCUGAUCCACAGAGAGUUGGGUACGGUGCAAACCAACGUUCAGAUGCUAGCUGAAGCCAUCUCCGAGAAGCAGGCUGAAAUAACCAACUAGGUGCUGCCGCAUGUCCAGCGUUAACGGGAACACGUAUUGAUAGAUACGUAGCAGAGUGUCACUUUGUGUACGCACAAAGUGGAACUAGGGUGGUAACACGGGUAAAAGACUCGUCCCUUUU